This 486-nucleotide ribosomal RNA is filed under the name uncultured bacterium. RNAcentral's name for it is "bacterial SSU rRNA". It matches the Rfam family "Bacterial small subunit ribosomal RNA", at positions 791 to 1268 of the family's 1533-position model. The record is from RNAcentral.
UAGUCCACACUGUAAACGAUGAGUGCUAUGUGUCGGAACUUGUUUUCGGCGCUGAAGCUAACGCCAUAAGCACUCCGCCUGGGGACUACGGUCGCAAGACUAAAACUCAAAGGAAUUGACGGGGACCCGCACAAGCGGUGGAGCAUGUGGUUUAAUUCGAUGUUACGCGAAGAACCUUACCAACCCUUGAAAUAUGUAAUCGCGGAUUUCAGAGAUGAUUUCCUUCAGUUCGGCUGGAUUAUAUACAGGUGUUGCAUGGCUGUCGUCAGCUCGUGUCGUGAGAUGUUAGGUUAAGUCCUGCAACGAGCGAAACCCUUGCCUUUAUUUGCCAACGAGUCAUGUCGGGAACUAUAAAGGGACUGCCUGUGAUAAGCAGGGAGGAAGGUAGGGGAUGACGUCAAGUCAUCAUGGCCCUUACGGGGUUGGGGCUACACACGUGCUACAAUGGGUAAUUACAGAGAGAAGCAAUAUCGCGAGGGUGGGAGC